This 253-nucleotide ribosomal RNA is filed under the name uncultured bacterium. Its description in RNAcentral is "partial 16S ribosomal RNA". It matches the Rfam family "Bacterial small subunit ribosomal RNA", at positions 524 to 776 of the family's 1533-position model. The record is from RNAcentral.
UACGUAGGGUCCGAGCGUUGUCCGGAAUUACUGGGCGUAAAGAGCUCGUAGGUGGUUUGUCGCGUUGUUCGUGAAAACUCACAGCUUAACUGUGGGCGUGCGGGCGAUACGGGCAGACUGGAGUACUGCAGGGGAGACUGGAAUUCCUGGUGUAGCGGUGGAAUGCGCAGAUAUCAGGAGGAACACCGGUGGCGAAGGCGGGUCUCUGGGCAGUAACUGACGCUGAGGAGCGAAAGCGUGGGGAGCAAACAGG